Molecule: ribosomal RNA, 207 nt
Filed under: uncultured bacterium
Lineage: Bacteria
Description: partial 16S ribosomal RNA
Rfam family: Bacterial small subunit ribosomal RNA
Source: RNAcentral
CACGUAGGCGGGUCGUUAAGUCGGGGGUGAAAUCCUGGAGCUCAACUCCAGAACUGCCUUCGAUACUGGCGAUCUUGGAGUCCGGGAGAGGUGGGUGGAACUGCGAGUGUAGAGGUGAAAUUCGUAGAUAUUCGCAAGAACACCAGUGGCGAAGGCGGCUCACUGGCCCGGUACUGACGCUGAGGUGCGAAAGCGUGGGAGCAAACA